This 4123-nucleotide long non-coding RNA is filed under the name Sus scrofa (pig). RNAcentral's name for it is "lncRNA (ENSSSCG00025073700.1)". The record is from RNAcentral. Lineage: Eukaryota; Metazoa; Chordata; Mammalia; Artiodactyla; Suidae.
AUGGGGGCUUAACCUUGCAGGCCAGGUGUAUUGGUAUCAGCUCCCUUGUUGUGCAGGAUAGAAUCAGGGGUAGAAAAUAAAGGAGGCAGACCACAGGCUGAGAGCUGUCAUCUAUAUUUUUGCCCCCGUCCUACAACCAUGAAAGGGAGGCCACCCACAGACAUGUCCAAUGACCAGGACACCCCAGGUGAUUAUGGCUGGGGAGUGAUUUAAUGCUGCCACCCAGGAAGUGCCCAGCCCGGCCCAAAGGUAAGAUUCUUUUUCUGUCCAGUGUUUGGUCAGAAGAGAUUGUGCCCAGCAGAGAGCCUUGCACACUGAGAGCAUGCAGGCCCCAGCUAACAGCCAUCCCUCCAGAGACAGAGCAGACACAGAGCUGUCAGCAUCUGCAGACGUAGUCCUUCCUGGUGCUUCCGGCACAGACCCAACACAGCACAAAGAGGAUGUUCCAGGGGCAGACCAGACCUGGGAGACCAGGAAAAUACAUGAGAAAGUCCAGGUCAGUCCUAGAGUGUGGCCCUUACACGCCCUGGUUAAAGACUGGGGCUGCAUAUCAGAACCCAUGGAAGCAUCUUUCUGUUCAGUGACAUGUUCGUUGGCCCAAAGCAUGGCACAGAUUUGUCAGUCCAAACUGUAGAUCCUUGUCCCAGAGAAGCUCUGUAUGUGAGUUUACACAUGGACACCUGGAUGAUGUGGUUCCUACACAAAGGUAAGAGUCAAGAUGUUAACCAAGAAAAUCCAGAUGAAGAACAUCCUUCCCAGACUUUGUUUAACGAGAUCUUUUUCUUUCUGGAUUUAUUAGGCUCCACAUAAAAACCUAUUAUAUUUCCAGGGAGAAAGAUACUCAAGAUUGUGUGUCUUACCCAAAUGUGUCACACGUUUAUUUGGGCUUACAGAUGUUGAAAGUAUUUAAAAUUAUUAUAUAAUCAUGACAUGUUUUAGUUGGAAUGAAGCUUUUAGUUCAAUAUUUUUCAAAGUUGUUUUUUUUUUAUUAGACUCAAUUUACUCAAAGCAGAAACAAAACAGAUCAAAGCCGAGUUGCUUGACCUGAGUUAGAGCCGAGUAUUUCUAUCUCUGCACACUGGCCCCCUUGCCCCCGCGCCCCUACCCAUGGAAGCUUUUAGGGUGAGGGGCGCACAAGUGUCAUCACUAAAUCCCUUGACUUCUUUGAGCCAAGUCUAAAUACCACUGAUCAAGUUCCUCCUUCUUAUUUUAGCCAGAGAAGUAUUCUUAAGAGAUUAACCCUUGGAAGGAAGUAAAGACGUAUUAUCAUUCAAAGUAUCUAAAAUAUUAGGAUUUGAAUAUAAUCAUAGCACUUUAUGAGAACUAUAGGCCAGGCACUGUGCUAGGCAUCCUACCUCUGGUACCUCAUGGAACCCUCUUAACAACCCUAGGAGACUGAUACUAAUAUUAUCUCCAUUUUCAGUUGAGGAAACUGAGGCUUCCAGAUCCAGCAAGUGGAAAAACCUGAGUUCAGAUCUCUGGACCCUGAUGCCAGAAUCUUCACCUCCACUCUUUUUUCUUCUUUUUUCUGUUUUUUUUUUUUUUUUUUUUAGGGCCGCCCCUGCAACUUAUGGAAGUUCCCAGGCUAGGGGUCAAAUUGGAGCUGGAGCUGCCGGCCUAUACCACAGCCACAGCAAUGCGAGAUCUAAACUGAGAUCUCUGAGACCUACACCACAGCUCAUGGCAACACCGGUUCCUUAACCCACUGAGCAAGGCCAGGGAUCAAACCCACAUCCUCUUGGAUACCAGUCAGGUUCUUAACCCACUGAACCACAAAGGGAACCCCUCACCUCCACACUUUACAGGGUUUCCUAAUUGUGGCAGCACUGUCAUUAGGAACCAGGUCAUUCUUUGGUUCAACCAGACCUGUCCUGUGCAUUGAGUUCCUGCUGUGGCACAGCAGGUAAAGCAUCUGGUGGUGUCUCUGCAGCAGCUUGGGUCUCUGCUGAGGUACAGGUCUGAUCCCUGGCCCGGGGAAAUUCCAUAUGCCUUGGGUGCAGCUGAAGAAUAAAACGAAAACAAAAACCAAGGAGUGCCUGUCAUGGCUCAUUGGAAAGGAAUCUGACUAGUAUCCAUGAGGACACAGGUUUGAUCCCUGGCCUCGCUCAGUGCGUUAAGGAUCUGGCGUUGCCAUGAGCUGUGGUGUAGGUUGCAGAUGCGGCUCGUAUCCCAAGUUGCUGUGGCUCUGGUGUAGGCUGGUGGCUACAGCUCUCUCUGAUUUGACCCCUAGCCUGGGAACUUCCAUAUGCCUUGAGUGCAGCCCUAAAAAGACCAAAAAAAACCAAAACAUAAAACAAACAAGAGCCAGUUAAAUAGCUGCUAGCAGGCUCCAUGCAAGAGUCACACUGGAUAUUUCCCCUUUGGGGCUGUCACUGUGUUGCUUCGUAGGUGCUGGCCCAACUGUCUCAUCCAUAAGAAUUUCUUUUGGCCAAAUUAUAUCCAAUAGGGGGCAGUUCCAUAUAUGGGGAGCCUGGAGAUGAUUCAGUGUUGGUGUCCAUUUUAUAAGAACAGAAUAUAAACUUCAGUGAACGAAGAAUUAGGUGCAGAGCCUUGGAAGUGCUCAUAUAAGUGACGCCCCUCUGAGUUGAAGCCUGAUUGCUUUCCGUGGAUCCGCCUCUGCACACAGGCAAGGUCUCAGACGUCUGCCUGUUUCAUUCACCCAGAGGAAGACUCUGAUGAGUGUAGCCAUUUCACAUUCUUCCCGCUCAGGGAGCCUAAGGAUUUUCUCAUUUAUGAUGCCCUCACUCUAUCAGAGUGAUGGAAGCUUCCUUCUGGCACCAAGAUUUAUGUGAUCGAGUCCAAAAAUAUGCUAUUCAAAUCAUGGAAGGAAUUGUCUUGCUUAGUAGCAAUUUAAUACAGCUGGUGGAAAUAAAACGGAGUAAAUACUUGAGAAAGUGAGUUUCUUUCCACAGAUGAAAAAUCAUACUGCAGGUCUUGAAGUGGCCAAGUUUCUGACUGUUAAAAAGAAUUACAUUUGGCUACCCUGCUCAUACAGUGUCCUGGAGAAAUUCCUAAUCAAUAACCUUUCCCUUGCUUUAUGAAGCACAGAAAGUGAUGGGGUGGAAAAAUCAACUUGAUAAACUUCAGCAAUAAUUUAAUUUGCCUUCCUUAAAAUUUCUCACUCAGCCAGCCAGAGUAAAAAAAAAAAAUGUGGUAAAACCAUUAGGGGAAAGAGUGGAAUUGUGGUAACAGAGAAACGCAGCCUGUCUCAUAAUGUCAACCUUGUGUCAUUGAGGCAGUUCAUACUUCAUCCGGGGGUGGGAGGAGAGGUGGCAGAUUGCUGUAGAACCCCCUCUUCCCCCAGCAGGUCCCGCUACACUUUCCAGUUAAAAAAGACAAGCCACACCCUCCUUCUGUCCUCUGCUGCUCAUCAGGCCCCAUUCUCCUUCCACUUCUACUCUGGGAAAAAAGAUGAAAGCAUCGAGCUGCAAGAUCGUGACAAUCAAGAAAUCCAUCUCCAUCCUCCCCCUGUCCCUCUGUGUCCCCUGAGACUGACCCAGAUAGAAGCUAAAUCAAGGCUGGUUUCUAAAAGCUUGCAGAGCGCCCUUGAAGAGAUCCCUUGGUGCCACGUAACCUUAGAGGGUGGAUCCCUUUACCAGCCAGGGCAUCUGUCCCCCAGCUGCUGGGCAGUUUGGCCAAUAAUACUGUGCACAGCUGUGCCCUCCCCAGGAGAGCAGUUUUGCAGGGGCUAAUGUAACAAAGUGUUGCAGACCAGGUGGCUUAAGCAACAGCAGUUUAUCUCUUCACAGUUCUGGAGGCCAGAGCUCCAAGUUCAAGGGUUGCCAAAUUGGUUUCAUCCUGAGGUCUCUCUUCCUGGCUUGGAGGUGGUCAUCCUCUUCCGGCACCUUCCAUGGUCUUCCCUAAUGACGUCAUUUUAACUAUCUCUUUAAAGACCCUGUCUCUGGAGUUCCCACUGUGGCUUAGCAGAAACGAAUCCAACUAGUAUCCAUGAGGAUGCAGAUUUGAUCCCUGACCUCGCUCAUUGGGCUAAGGAUCCGGCAUUGCUGUGAGCUGUAGUGUAAGUCACAGACGUGGCUCGGAUCUGGUUUUGCUGUGGCUGUGGUGUAGGUCCAUAGCUGCAGCUCCAAUGGGACCCCUAGCCUGGGAACUUCCAUAUGCAUGG